Long non-coding RNA from Myzus persicae (green peach aphid), 938 nucleotides. RefSeq lists it as uncharacterized. The record is from RefSeq and is a predicted model, not a curated record. The transcript is spliced from 2 exons. NCBI's taxonomy places the organism in Eukaryota, Metazoa, Arthropoda, Insecta, Hemiptera, Aphididae.
ACAUCUCACAAUUCGUUAUCCACUGCAAGAUACACAUUUUAGCGUUCUAUAGCGAUUAAGUACUAUAUUUAUUUCUGAGUGCAAAUAAUCUAUUAAAUCGCGUGAAUAUAUUUUCAUAAUACGAAUUACCUACCUAUCUACUUUUGACGGAGAGUUUUUUUUAAUGUAAAAUGAGUUAAGUAUUUUGUUUGGUGCGCGGUAAAUUUAAUGGUUUUAUUAUAAUUUUGUUUUUUUCAUAGCCCUUCAAAGCGAGGUUCGAGUAAACACCGUUUUUAGUCUUAUUUGCGCUUAUUUAUAUUCAGUGUUGAACUCAAAUAUUUAUUCGGAAGAAGGUUAAUUAUUCCUAUGGGGCCACUAAUUUAAUAUAACUUGUUAAUCAUCAGUAGGUGAACGUGAUUAUUGCGCAACACUACAUACCUACCUCAGCCGCUAUUGUGCAGUGAAUAGAAGAUAUUAUACACAGUAAAAUAAAACAAUUUAAAAAGUUGUAUCGUCGAUGAACAACAAUUAAACACUAAAUAAAAAUAUAUUGCUUAUACGCUAAUAACAGCUGAAAUGAUAAGUGCUCAGAUGUCUCUACUAAAUUGGUGGAACUACGACCUUUUUGUGGACCUACGUAGGCCACAAUAAUAUAGAUACAUAUUUUUUUUAUACAAAUUGACAAAUUUUUAACUUUUAAACUUUUUUACAACGUUAUUAUUCAAGAAAACUAAGCGAAUUUACAAUAAUAAUAAAUGGCAAAAUUGAACAGAAAAUCGUACUUAACCGUGUUGUUUUGGGGGUCAUUUUGACAAACCAUUGUUUGAUCAGAAUCGUUUUCCCAAAAAGGUACGGAAUCGUGCUUUACGGCCUAUAUUCACGUCACAAAUUGUUUCCGAUACAAAUCAACACGAUUUAUUGUUUUUGCAAUCCGCCAAAAGGUCAUAUAAACUUGGACG